Molecule: small nuclear RNA, 110 nt
Filed under: Suricata suricatta (meerkat)
Lineage: Eukaryota; Metazoa; Chordata; Mammalia; Carnivora; Herpestidae
Description: U2 spliceosomal RNA (ENSSSUG00005013993.1)
Rfam family: U2 spliceosomal RNA
About the family: U2 is a small nuclear RNA (snRNA) component of the spliceosome (involved in pre-mRNA splicing). Complementary binding between U2 snRNA (in an area lying towards the 5' end but 3' to hairpin I) and the branchpoint sequence (BPS) of the intron results the bulging out of an unpaired adenosine, on the BPS, which initiates a nucleophilic attack at the intronic 5' splice site, thus starting the first of two transesterification reactions that mediate splicing.
Source: Rfam by way of RNAcentral
AUUGCUUCUCAGCCUUUUGGCUUAGAUCAAGUGUAGUAUCUGUUCUAACAGGUUUAAUAAAAUACUACAACUAUUUUUUUCUUUACAUUUUGUUAGUUGAGCCACACUAA